Molecule: long non-coding RNA, 1049 nt
Organism: Daktulosphaira vitifoliae (grape phylloxera)
Lineage: Eukaryota; Metazoa; Arthropoda; Insecta; Hemiptera; Phylloxeridae
Exons: 2
Source: RefSeq, a predicted model, not a curated record
ACUAUCAUAAGUCAUAGGUCAAUUUUGUUGUAAACUAGUGUUAUUAUUAGUAACGAAAUCAAUAGUUCAAUAGUCUAAAAUGCGGUGAAUAGGAGGAACAAAUUUAUUUGUUUUAAAAAACUAUGUUUUAUCAAUUUCCUAUGAAUCCCAAACGUCAUUCAGAGAAUUGGAUAUUACGAAUGAAAAACCCCAAUGUUUUAUUGUAGAUAAUUCGUUAUAAUAUAAAAGAAUUUUUUUGAAAAAAAUUAGUUUUUUUAAAUUUUAUCGGAGUUUUGUUAGCAAAUUUAAGGUAUUUUUGGAGUUAAAUCAUAGCAGCAAAAAAGGUUUUCUUCAUUAUGGAGUCCUUGAAUUAUAUUACUACAUUUAUAAAUGUAUUAUUUUUCACAACUGCUUUUUCUGGUUGUAGUAGUGAUAUAUUUGUAAACAACAAGUUUUAUAUGCUAUCAACUGAUAACAAUGCAAUUGUACAUCCGUCUUAUAACAUUGAUAUAGACAAAUAUAGCUUACACGGAUAUAUCUGUGUUAUAUCCGGUUUAAAUACAGUCCGAACUCAUUUUAAUAUAAAUGAUAAAGUAUUGUUUGAUUUAAAAGAAUAUAACCUAAGUAAUUCUGAUUUUUUAAAGUUAUUUACUUCCUCCUAUAUAGGUGGUGACUUUCCAUCAAUUAAUAUUAAAGCAUUAUCUUUUAAAGAAUUAAGAUCUAACGGCGACUUUAAACUUAAUAGCAGUACAUAUGAUUGUAUUAUUAACUAUCAUAGAUUUAUGAUGAAUUUUUGCUUCACAAAAUAUAUUGUCGGAUCUAGAUAUUCAUAUGAGUGCAAAAAACUCUUCGUUAAUUUUCCUUCUACAAAUGAUGGCAACUAUUUUCAGGUUCUCACUAAUCGAUCAUCAGUUGAUAGUUGGUGUUGUCCCUAAAAUUUUUACUAGAAAUCAUUAUCAUUAAACUGUGAAAGUUUUUCUAAUAUUUGUGUAAGAACAAAGUUAUAAAACAAUUAUUUGUCAAUAAUUAAUAAUGCAAAAUAUUAUAAUAAAUAAAUGUAUUCACUAUUU